This 253-nucleotide ribosomal RNA is filed under the name uncultured bacterium. Its description in RNAcentral is "partial 16S ribosomal RNA". It matches the Rfam family "Bacterial small subunit ribosomal RNA", at positions 524 to 776 of the family's 1533-position model. The record is from RNAcentral.
UACGGAGGGUGCGAGCGUUGUCCGGAAUCACUGGGCGUAAAGGGCGCGUAGGCGGCCUGAUAAGUAGGGGGUGAAAUCCUGCGGCUUAACCGCAGGGCUGCCUUCUAAACUGUCGGGCUCGAGCACAGUAGAGGCAGGUGGAAUUCCCGGUGUAGCGGUGGAAUGCGUAGAGAUCGGGAAGAACAUCAGUGGCGAAGGCGACUACCUGGCCUGUUCUUGACGCUGAGGCGCGAAAGCUAGGGGAGCAAACGGG